Molecule: small RNA, 143 nt
Filed under: Flavobacterium micromati
Lineage: Bacteria; Pseudomonadati; Bacteroidota; Flavobacteriia; Flavobacteriales; Flavobacteriaceae
Description: Flavo-1 RNA
Rfam family: Flavo-1 RNA
Source: Rfam by way of RNAcentral
UUUUAGCCCAGAUGGCAGUGGAAAGCCCGGAACUUAUAAAAAGUAAUUUUCUUAACAGAAAAGAGCGACCAGCGAAAGCUCCUUUUAUGGCUUAGAAAAUACGUUUUGUAAGUGAGGACUUGUAACGUACAGCUGGAAAUAGC